CUAAGAAUAUUCCGCAAUGGAGGAAACUCUGACGGAGCGACGCCGCGUGGAUGAUGAAGGUCGGAAGAUUGUAAAAUCCUUUUAUGACUGAGGAAUAAGUACGUUGAGAGAAACGGCGUAUGGUGACUGUAGGUCAUGAAUAAGCAACGGCUAAUUCCGUGCCAGCAGCCGCGGUAAUACGGAAGGUCCGGGCGUUAUCCGGAUUUAUUGGGUUUAAAGGGAGCGUAGGCCGCCUGGUAAGCGUGUUGUGAAAUGUCGUUGCUCAACAACGUCACUGCAGCGCGAACUGCUGGGCUUGAGUGUGCGGAAAGCGGGCGGAAUUUGUGGUGUAGCGGUGAAAUGCUUAGAUAUCACGAAGAACUCCGAUUGCGAAGGCAGCUCGCUGUAGCAUUACUGACGCUGAAGCUCGAAGGUGCGGGUAUCGAACA
Molecule: ribosomal RNA, 428 nt
Filed under: uncultured Prevotella sp.
Lineage: Bacteria; Pseudomonadati; Bacteroidota; Bacteroidia; Bacteroidales; Prevotellaceae
Description: bacterial SSU rRNA
Rfam family: Bacterial small subunit ribosomal RNA
Source: RNAcentral